AGUUGGUGGAGCGAUUUGUCU
This 21-nucleotide non-coding RNA is filed under the name Arabidopsis thaliana (thale cress). RNAcentral also lists the same sequence under 1 other name. Lineage: Eukaryota; Viridiplantae; Streptophyta; Magnoliopsida; Brassicales; Brassicaceae. The record is from RNAcentral.